GGGAAUGUUUUGGUUUCGACAGGAUAGAAAACUUAUUACUAGCAAGUAAGCGGGAGCUUUAAAAUCCAACUAAAAUAUAAUCGGAAACGAUAAUUACGCAUUAGCUGCCUAAGAUAGCAGCUCAUCACUUUUGGAAAUGCCGUUUUUCCACUAGAUGAUGUUACUUUUUACGGCUUACUCAAAUGUAUGAUUAUGUCACUUGAGGAAAAUUUAUAAUCUCGCUUUUAGACUUUUGUUUGUUUAAUAUCUAAAAGUUAAAAAGAUAAAUAAACUAAACUUGUAGAAGGUAAUAAAGACUUUUUAUUUUGGACACGGGUUCGAUUCCCGUCAUUUCCACCA
This 339-nucleotide transfer-messenger RNA is filed under the name Leptotrichiaceae. Its description in RNAcentral is "Leptotrichia sp001553645 Standard tmRNA". It matches the Rfam family "transfer-messenger RNA". Rfam says of the family: Bacterial tmRNA, also known as 10Sa RNA or SsrA, is named for its dual tRNA and mRNA-like properties. Its role is to liberate the mRNA from a stalled ribosome. To accomplish this part of the tmRNA is used as a reading frame that ends in a translation stop signal. The record is from RNAcentral. RNAcentral also lists the same sequence under 1 other name. Lineage: Bacteria; Fusobacteriati; Fusobacteriota; Fusobacteriia; Fusobacteriales.